RNAcentral lists this ribosomal RNA (292 nucleotides) under uncultured Acidobacteriota bacterium. RNAcentral's name for it is "uncultured Acidobacteria bacterium partial 16S ribosomal RNA". Lineage: Bacteria; Pseudomonadati; Acidobacteriota. The record is from RNAcentral.
GGACUACCCGGGUUUCUAAUCCUGUUUGCUACCCACGCUUUCGUGUCUCAGCGUCAGUUACUGUCCAGAGAGCCGUCUACACCACAGGUGUUCCUCCUGAUAUCUACGCAUUUCACCGCUACACCAGGAAUUCCACUCUCCCAUCCAGUACUCUAGCCCUCCAGUUUUCGGCGCACCCUCCCAGUUGAGCCGGGAGAUUUCACACCAAACUUAGAGAACCGCCUACACACCCUUUACGCCCAGUAACUCCGAACAACGCUUGCUGCCUACGUAUUACCGCGGCGGCUGGCAC